This 1423-nucleotide ribosomal RNA is filed under the name uncultured prokaryote. RNAcentral's name for it is "partial 16S ribosomal RNA". It matches the Rfam family "Bacterial small subunit ribosomal RNA". The record is from RNAcentral.
UAACGCAUGCAAGUCGAACGAUAAAGCGAAUUUAUUCGCGAUUAAAGUGGCGAACGGGUGAGUAACGCGUGGGAAACCUGCCCUUCGAGUGGGGGAUAACAUUCCUAACGGAAUGCUAAUACCGCAUAACAUCACAGAUCGCAUGGUCUGUGCUCAAAGAUAGCCUCUACAUGUAAGCUGUCGCUUGAAGAUGGUCCCGCGUCCCAUUAGCUUGUUGGUAGGGUAAUGGCCUACCAAGGCAUCGAUGGGUAGCCGGCCUGAGAGGGUGACCGGCCACACUGGGACUGAGACACGGCCCAGACUCCUACGGGAGGCAGCAGUCGAGAGGCUUCGGCAAUGGGGGAAACCCUGACCGAGCGACGCCGCGUGGACGAUGAAGUUUUUCGGAAUGUAAAGUCCUGUCAUACGGGAUGAAAAGCCGAUUGGUUAAUAACCUUUUGGUCUGACAGUACCGUAAGAGGAAGCUCCGGCUAACUCCGUGCCAGCAGCCGCGGUAAUACGGGGGGAGCGAGCGUUAUUCGGAAUCAUUGGGCGUAAAGAGUUCGUAGGCGGUCAGAAUAGUCAGAGGUGAAAUCUAACGGCUUAACCGUUAAAUAGCCUUUGAAACUCUCUGACUUGAGUACGUGAGAGGAAAGCGGAAUUCCUGGUGUAGCGGUGAAAUGCGUAGAUAUCAGGAGGAACACCCGUGGCGAAGGCGGCUCUCUAUCUCGAUUCUGACGCUGAGGCGCGAAAGCCAGGGGAGCAAACGGGAUUAGAUACCCCGGUAGUCCUGGCCGUAAACGAUGGGCACUAGGUGUGGGAGGUAUCGACCCCUUCCGUGCCGCAGCUAACGCAUUAAGUGCCCCGCCUGGGGAGUACGAUCGCAAGAUUGAAACUCAAAGGAAUUGACGGGGGCCCGCACAAGCGGUGGAGUAUGUGGUUUAAUUCGAGACAACGCGAAGAACCUUACCUGGAUUUGACAUGUUUAGGACCGAGUGAAAGCAGUCUUUCCCUUCGGGGAUCUUUACACAGGUGCUGCAUGGCUGUCGUCAGCUCGUGCCGUGAGGUGUUGGGUUAAGUCCCGCAACGAGCGCAACCCUUAUCCUUAGUUGCCAUCAGGUUAUGCUGGGAACUCUAAGGAGACUGCCGGUGAUAAACCGGAGGAAGGUGGGGAUGACGUCAAGUCCUCAUGGCCCUUACAUCCCGGGCUACACACGUGCUACAAUGGCCGGUACAAUAGGAAUCAAUACCGCGAGGUGGAGCGAAUCCCAGAAAACCUGUCUCAGUUCGGAUUGUAGUCUGCAACUCGACUACAUGAAGGCGGAAUCGCUAGUAAGCGCGGAUCAGCAGGCCGCGCUGAAUACGUUCCCGGGCCUUGUACACACCGCCCGUCAAGCGAUGGAAGCUGGGGGUACCCGAAGUCGGUGACCUAACCUUAGGGAUG